GAUGAACGCUGGCGGCGUGCCUCAAACAUGCAAGUCGAGCGGGGCUAUGUAAUAUCGCAAGGUAGAACAUAGCCUAGCGGCGAACGGGUGAGUAACACGUGGGUAACCUGCCUGGAAGACAGGGAUAACGAUUCGAAAGGGUCGCUAAUACCUGAUAAUAUCCUUUCAUCGCAUGGUGAUAGGAAGAAGGGGAAACCCGCUUUCAGAUGGGCCCGCGUCCCAUCAGCUAGUUGGUAAGGUAAAGGCUUACCAAGGCGACGACGGGUAGCCGGUCUGAGAGGAUGUACGGCCACACUGGGACUGAGAUACGGCCCAGACUCCUACGGGAGGCAGCAGUUGGGAAUCUUAGGCAAUGGACGAAAGUCUGACCUAGCGACGCCGCGUGAGGGAAGAAGGCCUUCGGGUUGUAAACCUCUGUCAUGGGGAAGAAGUAAGUGACGGUACCCCAAGAGGAAGCCCCUGCUAACUACGUGCCAGCAGCCGCGGUAAGGAGUAGUACA
RNAcentral lists this ribosomal RNA (500 nucleotides) under uncultured bacterium. Its description in RNAcentral is "bacterial SSU rRNA". It matches the Rfam family "Bacterial small subunit ribosomal RNA", at positions 28 to 536 of the family's 1533-position model. The record is from RNAcentral.